Molecule: ribosomal RNA, 675 nt
Filed under: uncultured bacterium
Lineage: Bacteria
Description: bacterial SSU rRNA
Rfam family: Bacterial small subunit ribosomal RNA
Source: RNAcentral
UCUGACUNGAGUGCAGAAGGGGAGAGUGGAAUUCCAUGUGUAGCGGUGAAAUGCGUAGAUAUAUGGAGGAACACCAGUGGCGAAAGCGGCUCUCUGGUCUGUCACUGACGCUGAGGCUCGAAAGCGUGGGUAGCGAACAGGAUUAGAUACCCUGGUAGUCCACGCCGUAAACGAUGAGUGCUAGGUGUUAGGCCCUUUCCGGGGCUUAGUGCCGGAGCUAACGCAAUAAGCACUCCGCCUGGGGAGUACGACCGCAAGGUUGAAACUCAAAGGAAUUGACGGGGGCCCGCACAAGCGGUGGAGCAUGUGGUUUAAUUCGAAGCAACGCGAAGAACCUUACCAGGUCUUGACAUCCCGAUGCUAUUCUUAGAGAUAGGAAGUUACUUCGGUACAUCGGAGACAGGUGGUGCAUGGUUGUCGUCAGCUCGUGUCGUGAGAUGUUGGGUUAANNNNNNNNACGAGCGCAACCCUUAUUGUUAGUUGCCAUCAUUAAGUUGGGCACUCUAGCGAGACUGNCGGUAAUAAACCGGAGGAAGGUGGGGAUGACGUCAAAUCAUCAUGCCCCUUAUGACCUGGGCUACACACGUGCUACAAUGGUCGGUACAACGAGUUGCGAGCCGGUGACGGCAAGCUAAUCUCUGAAAGCCGAUCUCAGUUCGGAUUGGAGGCUGCAAC